UGUCACUCUACUUUUUUAUGAUGUCUAAUUUCUGUGGUCUCUAGGACUAAUACAUUGUCAUAGAUUUGGGAAGGUAAAAACAUAUUCGGAAGAUGGAAGUUUGGAUAUAUCUCAGAAAAUAAAAGAACACCCUAAUUAGUUCUCCGUGGAGCCUUGGGACCUUUUGUUCCGCACCUUCCCUCCAGAGGGCGAUGCUGCACAAACUUAAAGAUCUUACUGAUCUUCAUCCUCUCAGUCCCUCCUCCUGCAGCUGACUGAGUUCUUCGCACAGAGAAGAAACAGACAUCAGAAACCUCCAGGCUCAUCUCAGCAGCUUUUGUGAUUUUAUCUAACAAGGAACUUAUCCAGCGCAACGUUCCCCACACUUAUUUACUGCCACUUUCCUGUCUGCUCAGAGGAGGUCUUUCAGAAAAGACCUCACAACCUUUCCACCGCUCAGCCAUGCUCCUGUUGCUCAUCUCAGUACUGGGGAUGACAUUUACCCUGAGAGAUGCCCGAGCCCAGACAGUGACCCAGCCUGAUGACCAUGUUUUGAUCUCUGAAAAAGCCUCACUGGAGCUGAGGUGCAACUAUUCCUAUGGUGCAAGCGUGUAUCUCUUCUGGUACGUCCAGUACCCCUGCCACGGACUCCAGCUUCUCCUCAAGUACUUUUCAGGCGAUCCUUUGGUUCAAGGCAUUAAAGGCUUUGAGGCUGAAUAUAAGAGAAGUGAAUCUUCCUUCAACCUUAGGAAAUCCUCAGUCCAUUGGAGUGACUCAGCUGAGUACUUCUGUGCUGUAUCACCU
This is a non-coding RNA of Vicugna pacos (alpaca), 783 nucleotides long. The record is from the annotation of a RefSeq genome assembly. Lineage: Eukaryota; Metazoa; Chordata; Mammalia; Artiodactyla; Camelidae.